GGGAUAGCCCAGGGAAACCUGGAUUAAUACCGGAGUGAGACGGGACCCGCGAUGGCGGGAUCCGGGAAAGGCGCUGCGGCGCCGCCGGGGGAUGAGUCUGCGUCCCAUUAGCUAGACGGCGGGGUAACGGCCCACCGUGGCGACGAUGGGUAGCCGGCCUGAGAGGGUGGACGGCCACAUUGGAACUGAGACACGGUCCAGACUCCUACGGGAGGCAGCAGCUAAGAAUCUUCCGCAAUGGGCGAAGGCCUGACGGAGCGACGCCCGCGUGAACGAAGAAGGCCGUGAGGUUGUAAAGUUCUUUUCGGGAGGGGGAACAACCGUGGCAGGGAAUGGCCGCGGGAUGACGUGAAUCCCGGAAUAAGCCCCGGCUAACUACGUGCCAGCAGCCGC
Molecule: ribosomal RNA, 393 nt
Filed under: uncultured bacterium
Lineage: Bacteria
Description: bacterial SSU rRNA
Rfam family: Bacterial small subunit ribosomal RNA
Source: RNAcentral